RNAcentral lists this ribosomal RNA (282 nucleotides) under uncultured bacterium. RNAcentral's name for it is "partial 16S ribosomal RNA". It matches the Rfam family "Bacterial small subunit ribosomal RNA", at positions 335 to 635 of the family's 1533-position model. The record is from RNAcentral.
GUCCUACGGGACGCAGCAGUGGGGGAUAUUGCACAAUGGGGGAAACCCUGAUGCAGCGACGCCGCGUGUGGGAAGACGGUCCUCUGGAUUGUAAACCACUGUCCCCAGGGACGAGGAUGACGGUACCUGGGGAGGAAGCUCCGGCUAACUACGUGCCAGCAGCCGCGGUAAUACGUAGGGAGCGAGCGUUGUCCGGCAUAACUGGGUGGAAAGGGAGCGUAGGCGGGGAUGCAAGUUGGGUGUCAAAACUACCGGCUCAACGGGGAGUCGCACUAAAAACUG